Ornithodoros turicata is the source of this 256-nucleotide long non-coding RNA. RefSeq lists it as uncharacterized. The record is from RefSeq and is a predicted model, not a curated record. NCBI's taxonomy places the organism in Eukaryota, Metazoa, Arthropoda, Arachnida, Ixodida, Argasidae. The transcript has 3 exons.
GUGAAGAAACCGGCCGCCAUCUUACGGUGCCCACAACAGCCGCCGCAGCGAUCAUGGCAACUUCUUGCAAUUACGGUCGUACCAACCGUACUGGCAAGGUUACAGGGCCUAAACUUAUACAGGUUUCGUCAUGAGGGCCCAGUGAAUAAUCUGUGCAGGUGAUACGGCUGGGUGUACAGGUUACUUCACAGCUGCCUCGACAUACUCAAGAAAUGGGUGCAGAACCUGCGUAAUGCCCACAAACUUUGACUACCAC